AUACAAAUACUCUAACACAUAAAGCACAUAUAUCAUAUAUCAUACCUGACCUUUCUGUCACAUAAUCCCUUGCCUUCCGGCCCAUAUAUAAGCAUGUAUAACACGCGUAGCAGCUAACUUUUCAUUCAUAGCAUAUAAACAUAACACAUAACAUACUUGACCUUCCGGUCACACAAUCAAACCCUUCCGGGUGAGGUAUAGUGAGAAGACUCACCUCGCGGACACUAGAAGAUAGCAACUCCUAAAAUCCCUUGCACUUGAUCCUCCGAGCUACAAGCUCCCUGUAACAUCAUAUAUCCCUUAUUUAAUACUUCUAUCUUCCACGUUAACUGACCCUAAGAAAUCACACCAGUCAACUCUGGUCAACAGUCCAUUGUCAGCUCGACUGGACUCGGCGAGUUCCCUGGCGACUCGGCGAGUCUGGUCGUCCUUCAAUCCUCUAAGAUUCCCCUUCUACUCGUCGAGUAUCCUCUUUGACUCGACGAGUCACUCCUGGAAGAAUCGCGGGGCCACCCCGACUCCACUCGCCGAGUCUGAAGAACAACUCGGCGAGUCCCAGUGAAUCUUCAAGCUACUCGCCGAGUCUGAUCAUCCGACUCGGCGAGUCCACGCCAUGCAGUCGAUCCAACUGCUUCCUGAGAUACGUUUUUCCCGAGAUACACACUCAUGGGACUUCUGGACCUCUAAUCAUCCUAUUACUAGGGUAGAAACCUUUGUAUAACAACAUAAUAAUCCAUCAAAUCCCCAAAUGGGUUUCAUAAACCCUAAAUUCGUGUACACAUCAAAAUAACAGGAAUGAUCCGAAACAUAACCUGAAAACGUACUCUCUGUGUCCCCAAACCUCAGAACUCGACCCCCUUGCUCUUCCUUUGGCCAAAAUCCUUCCUCUUCUUGCACCACAAUUCCUUCAAAGUCAAUAAUGGCCUUCAAGUUUUGCUCCAGAUGCCACAGUCGUCUAGGGUUCUCCACAAUCGGCCAAAAGACGUGAAAUGACGACAUAACAACCCUUAAAUACGACCCAAUACGAAACGGCUAGGGUUUCUGCUGAACAGCGUCGACUCGCCGAGUCCAUACCUGGACUCGUCGAGUCCAGUCGCGAACCCGCGACCAAAUCUGCGACCCUACUCGGCGAGUCUGGCUCCAACUCGCCGAGUCUCCCCUUUAAAACACCCCAAAAUGCAAUUUAACAAUACUUGAGAUUUUGGGCUGUUACAAUUCUCCCCCACUAGAAUUAGACUUCGCCCUCGAAGUCUCACUCUGAAAAUAGUUCUGGAUGCUGCUCCCGCAUCACACGUUUCGGCUUCCCUAAACACUUCCGAUAUCUUCCGAGGUCGCUACUGAACCAAUACCAGAGGUACCUCCUUGUUCCUCAGAACCUUGAUCUUCCGAUCUCCGACGGCCACUGGCCUCUCGACGUAACACAGGCUCGCAUCCACCUAAUCGUUCUCUAGUAGAACCACUGCUGACUCAUCCGCUAUACACCUCUUCAACUGCGACACAUACCAGUGUCAUGGAUCCGUCCCAAUUCCGUUGACAGCUCCAAACGAUAGGCCACCCUUCCUACCUUCGCACCUUCACGAAAAGACCCAACAUACCGGGGCCCCCCAUUUACCCCUCUUCCUAAAUCGAAGCACCCCGUCAGAAAUACGAAGUCGCUGACCUGAAUCACAUGCUCGUAACGGCGUCUGCCUGCAUAACUUUCCUGUUAACUCUAGACGAUCACUAACUCUCUUUAACCUGCUGAGUCUGCUUUGUCAACUAAAGUACGAACUCUGAACUGCUCAUCACUCUCUGUAAUCGGAAAUUACCCAAGAUGCACUCUGCUCCAAAUCUCAACGAUCACUCAACCCAUAAGGGUUAGGAAACCCUGAACCACCGGAUCCCCGAUCCAAAGCCCACUUUGCCCAUUCCGGACCGACUGAGAGAUCCGUUCUCCCUCUCAGAUCAACUCUCACAAGUUCCCUCUUGCCAUCACAUACACAUACUGAACUAGUCCCAACACCCGCAGGUGGAAAGACCCGAUACACUGAUGAUAUCCUCGAACAUCUCCCAAGAUGAACCACUACAUCCACCCUACACUCUGAUCAGAUUCACACUGAGAAUUUAAAAUUUUCUCUCUCCAUGCAUCCCUUCUGAGCCUCAACAGACAUCCCAACCGGAUGGGUUCCUACUCCACUGCCGCGAACACGAUGCUCAAAACCAUACUCGAAAUACUCUAACCAUAACUCUGCUCUGCAGCUUUCACUUUCGUGAACUUGCACCCCCUUCGGAGUUACAUACCCUCCUCUUUUCCUUUUCCACGGAACUCUCUUGAACAUAAUGCCACUCCAACCGGUGCCACGGUGCUCGCCCCAAGCGACACCACCCUUUUUGCGUAACUGCUAUUCACAUACUCUGGUUCUCAUUGCAGGGGCUCUCAAUCCCAUGCACUCUCUCCACUCAUCAAAAUCACUGCCUCCGCUAAACAAGAUCAAUAACCCGGGGCCAGACCUUCCAAUGCAAUCACACUGCAACAUACGCGAUCCGCAAAUCUCAAACUAAUCCAGCAAUACCAACAGAGUCUCCAGUAUGACUGGACCGACUCUCAUAACACAUACUAGCCACUCGAGGCUAUAUCUCUGUGGGUCCGUACACCCAAACUCUGCGAACCCUCAGGUUCUAACUCUGGGAACCUUCCGGUUCCAGCUCUAGAAACAUGCACAACAUAAUCCCGUGGGAUUAAUGCAGUACAACCCAUCACGUACCUCAAACGUACCAAUACUCUGAUCGCAAAAUUCCGAUUACUUACUCAAGCUUGAUCCCGACCUCCUCUCAGGCCUCCACAAUCAAAUGCCCUAGGUCUGUAUCUCGCCCCGCAUACUCAACACUCGCUCUCGUCGGCCUAUACUUUGCGCUGACAAACACUGCUGAAUCCCAACAGCUAAGCACCCUUACAUACUCAUCGAUCUCCCGGAGAAUUUUACAAUUCUCCCCCACUAAAGCACUGACUAACUGCCACCGAUCGUCAUUAACGACCUUUCAGAACCAUCCUGCACAAAGAGAACAUUUACCCACUGACUGCUUCCCACAAGCGUAAGCAACCCUCAGCAAAACACAUCUCCUCCCUGAUCAAUCCGCUCAAAAGAAUCCGAUCUUUCAAUUAUCCACUCCACAACUGCAGAUGCUACCCGUCAUUCAACCCAGUGCCGCAUCUCCACUAUCAACCCUCACGAACGAUGACCAACGGAAUUCCCAAGCAAUAACCCAUAACCAAACCCACAACCUGCCAAAGGUUGAAUAUCGCAUCGAAAACCGCACAAGGCUACCGGUACCAAAACACCAAACUAUAAUCAUACUAAACCAUCAGGGAACAACGAAUGCCAAGCGAAAACCUGAAGCACCAAUCCAUAACCAUGCCAAACCCGCGAAACAACGAAUACCGCAUCGAAAUCCACACCAGACACCAGCACAAACAAUACGCCACAAUCAACGCAAGCUACUCAAGACAUCAAGAGAGCAUCAUACCCGCAGCUGCCUCCGGCACUGCUCCGUCUCCCUCUGCCGCAAGCCGAUAAGCACGACCCUGAGCCCUUGGGCUCUGCUCCAUCCUGUCCUCCUCCUGAACUCCUCAAGGUGGCCGAUGCUAGAGCCUGCACCGGUCCUGCAGGAAACUGUGGACGGUUGACCCUCAAAUGUCCAACCUGCCGACACUGAUAACAAAUCCUGAAAUCCCGAAUUGGCACUGACUGCCGACAAUCCCGUGCACCAUGCCCCUCCUUUCCGCACUUGCGGCAUGCACCACUGGGCCAACAAGCUCCGGUGCCAUCUCUCUCACACUUCCCACAAGUGUGACCGCUCCGAUCCCCCAUUCUAACGUCUACGGUCAUGGACCGUUUCGGCGCCGACUGCGACUGCAUCGGGGCCUGCCUCAUCUCACGCAACUGCAACUCAACCUCUAACUCACGCCACAUGGCGGCCUCCUGCGAUACCAACACGGUCUCGCGCCUCUGCGCAGACACGAACUGUCUGAUACCCCCCCUUGAGCAUACUCGGAUAUCGGGACAUCUGAGCCUGCUCCGAAGCGAACUCAGGGCAAAACAUCGCCCUCUCAAUAAACAUCCCGGUGCUCUCAGUCACCGACUCCAAAUCCUGCUUCAGCUUAAGGAACUUCCGAGCCAAUUUCUCCUUUUCAUCCCGCGGAACAUAGCGAGUACUGAACAUCCCUCUGAAUUGAUCCCAUGAAACCGCAGCCCUCUGCGCAUCGGAAAAUGACCUCGUGGUCAAUCUCCACCAAUCCUUCGCCCCGAGCCUCAAUAGGUUCAGAGCACACCCCACCCUCUGAUCAGCAGGGCAUAAACUCGUGGAGAAACACCCCUCCAUGUCUGAUAACCAUCUCAUAGCAACAAUCGAGUCCUGAACUCCAUCGAAUGUGGGAGGCUUCGCAUAAUAGAAGUCCCGAUACUGAAAACCCCGACUAGCCCCUUUCUUUGCCGUUGCUACAGCCGCUGUAACCGCCGCGGCAGCCGUCUCUGCGAAAGCCGCAUAUCGCUCAUCAAACUACUUCAAUCAUAGUGGUCCUGAUCGACCCAAACAAUUCUGGCGACUCAGCCCGCAACAAUGCAGCAACCUCAUCACGCCGGAUCUCGCGAAUCCUCGCAUCCCGCUCGCUCGUGCUCGUCCGAUCGAUAACCGGAUAACAAGAUAGCCACAAGCAUCAUCCACUACGAACCAUGGUACUCAUCCCAUGACAUCCCUCCUCAACAUGCUUCGGUGUAUGGUACCUGAACCAUAGCACCAUUCCUCAAUCUGCUCCAAUGUAUAGCACUCGAACCACAACAUCUAUCUCAAUCUGUUCCGAUGUAUGGUGCCCUGACCAUAACAUCACUCUGUAUCCGCUCCGAUGUAUGGUAUCCGAACCAUAACAUCACCCCUCAAUCUGUUCCUUAGGACCUUCAGAAUGCCCCCUGUAUCAAGUAUGGGUCCUCUGCUUUCAGUAGUACGGGCCCAUACUACCUGCCACAUCUACCCAUACUUUCCACACGGACCAUCCCAGAGUUCCUAAGUAGCUGAUAAACCUGCUCUUUCACCCAUCUCAUCGCGCGUGCUCGCUUUCCAGCGAAAUCCUCUACUCUACCAGCGCACUCAUCUGGCUAGGUUUACUCCCUAGUCCCUUCCGCUGUCCUCCCACUUCUUUGCUAUCAGCUGCUGAAGAGUUCCUAAUGAUGCCAGCCCUCUACCUCCUGAGUAUCGUCAUACUCACUUAGUAGCUGACUCCCAUCAUCGAUAACUCCACAAAGCACAAAGCAAGCAGCAUUCGAGCAUUGAAGCAUACAUAGGACUCCCCAUCUGUGGUAGCUCCACCUUCUCGGCUCAUCCUCGGAAGUACCUCUGUACCCCGUAGCUUUACCCCUUGUGCGUUCUAACUAGAUACUCUCACUCAUCACAUACACACAAAAGCAUAACGCACAUAUAACAGCAAACCCUAGACUAAGGCAUCACAAAUCAGGCCACUCUAGUCCUAAGAUGUGAAAUACCUAGCCUGUCUCUAGCAUGCAAUAAUGUCUCAUAAAGUGCAUAAUAGAUAUUUCAUAAUACAAAAGUAAGGGUAUUUUGGGAAAUCACCGUUUGGCUCUGGCUGAUUGUACACACUGCUCUUUCUUGCUUUCUCUUUGAACUCUUAUUCACUUUUAGAAAACCAUUUAUUUGGAAAACUUUUUCUUACUUCCUCAGUUUGAGUCCAGAUUUACCCGUAGGCGCGUCCGAAUCCCUCAAACCAAGGCUCUGAUACCAAUUUGUAACACCGUGAUUUCCAAAAACAAAAUUUUCAUUUAAAUAAUCAAUUUAAUAUUAAAAACACUUGUUUAAAAUCUUAUUCACAUUCGAAUUACAAAACAUAGUUUCAUUUUCAUUAUAAUAGAAGACCAGGAUCCUCCAAAACACAACUCUUUCUUCGGUGUGUACAAUCGAACCGUUGCCAUCCCGCGUUACUGUAAGAACCUGAAACAACAUAACAUAAACAACGUAAGCACGAAGCUUAGUGAGUUCCCCAAUAUACCUUACGCACAUACGCCAUCCGGCCCGGACCGUUCGGUCCACAUAACAUUGCCUUCCGGCCCGGAUCUUUCGAUCCACAUAAUAUCGCCUUCCGGCCCGGAUCUUUCGAUCCACAUAAUAUCGCCUUCCGGCCCGGACCUCUCGGUCCACAAGAUAAUUGCCUUCCGGCCCAUACACAUAUAUAACACAUAAUACAAAUACUCUAACACAUAAAGCACAUAUAUCAUAUAUCAUACCUGACCUUUCUGUCACAUAAUACCUUGCCUUCCGGCCCAUAUAUAAGCAUGUAUAUCACGCGUAGCAGCUAACUUUCCAUUUAUAGCAUAUAAACAUAACACAUAACAUACUUGACCUUCCGGUCACACAAUCAAACCCUUCCGGGUACAGUAUAGUGAGAAGACUCACCUCGCGGACACUGGAAGAUAGCAACUCCUGAAACCUCUUGCACUUGAUCCUCCGAGCUACAAGCUCCCUGUCUCAUCAUAUAUCUCUUUUUAAUACUUCUAUCUUCCACGUUAACUGACCCUAAGAAAUCACACCAGUCAACUCUGGUCAACAGUCCAUUGUCAGCUCGACUGGACUCGGCGAGUUCCCUGGCGACUCGGCGAGUCUGGUCGUCCUUCAAUCCUCUAAGAUUCCCCUUCUACUCGUCGAGUAUCCUCUUUGACUCGACGAGUCACUCCUGGAAGAAUCGCGGGGCCACCCCGACUCCACUCGCCGAGUCUGAAGAACAACUCGGCGAGUCCCAGUGAAUCUUCAAGCUACUCGCCGAGUCUGAUCAUCCGACUCGGCGAGUCCAUGCCAUGCAGUCGAUCAAACUGCUUCCUGAGAUACAUAUUUUCCCGAAAUACACACUCAUGGGACUUCUGGACCUCUAAUCAUCCUAUUACUAGGGUAUAAACUUUUGUAUAACAACAUAAUAAUCCAUCCAAUCACCAAAUGGGUUUCAUAAACCCUAAAAUCGUGCACACAUCAAUAUAGCAGAAAUGAUCCGGAAUAUUACCUGAAUAACACCCCCUUUGUGUCUCCAAACCUCAGAACUCGAUCCCCUUGAUAUUCCUUUGGCCAAAACUCUUCUUCUUCUUGCUUAACAAAUUCUUCAAGGUUCCAAAAGCUUCUUCUCCUGCCCUAGACGUCCACAACGAUUAAGGGUCCUUCUCAGUCGGCCAAAAGGCGAACAAUGGAGGCAUAAGAUCCCUUAAAUACUUCCCAAACCGAACGGCUAGGGUUUUCCACUGAACAGCGUCGACUCGCCGAGUCCAUACCUGGACUCGUCGAGUCCAGUCGCGAACCCGCGACCAACUCUGCGACCCUACUCGGCGAGUCUGGCUCCAACUC
Molecule: long non-coding RNA, 7371 nt
Filed under: Lactuca sativa (garden lettuce)
Lineage: Eukaryota; Viridiplantae; Streptophyta; Magnoliopsida; Asterales; Asteraceae
Description: long non-coding RNA (LSAT_LNC010038)
Source: RNAcentral